Molecule: ribosomal RNA, 388 nt
Filed under: uncultured bacterium
Lineage: Bacteria
Description: partial 16S ribosomal RNA
Rfam family: Bacterial small subunit ribosomal RNA
Source: RNAcentral
AUACGUAGGUGGCAAGCGUUAUCCGGAAUUAUUGGGCGUAAAGGGUGCGUAGGCGGCUGGAUAAGUCUGAGGUAAAAGCCCGUGGCUCAACCACGGUAAGCCUUGGAAACUGUCUGGCUGGAGUGCAGGAGAGGACAAUGGAAUUCCAUGUGUAGCGGUAAAAUGCGUAGAUAUAUGGAGGAACACCAGUGGCGAAGGCGGUUGUCUGGCCUGUAACUGACGCGGAAGCACGAAAGCGUGGGGAGCAAAUAGGAUUAGAUACCCUAGUAGUCCACGCCGUAAACGAUGAGAACUAAGUGUUGGGGAAACUCAGUGCUGCAGUUAACGCAAUAAGUUCUCCGCCUGGGGAGUAUGCACGCAAGUGUGAAACUCAAAUGAAUUGACGGGG